RNAcentral lists this ribosomal RNA (468 nucleotides) under uncultured bacterium. RNAcentral's name for it is "partial 16S ribosomal RNA". It matches the Rfam family "Bacterial small subunit ribosomal RNA", at positions 28 to 507 of the family's 1533-position model. The record is from RNAcentral.
GACGAACGCUGGCGGCGUGCUUAACACAUGCAAGUCGAACGGAAAGGCCCUGCUUUUGUGGGGUGCUCGAGUGGCGAAUGGGUGAGUAACACGUGAGUAACCUGCCCUUGACUUUGGGAUAACUUCAGGAAACUGGGGCUAAUACCGGAUAGGAGCUCCUGCUGCAUGGUGGGGGUUGGAAAGUUUCGGCGGUUGGGGAUGGACUCGCGGCUUAUCAGCUUGUUGGUGGGGUAGUGGCUUACCAAGGCUUUGACGGGUAGCCGGCCUGAGAGGGUGACCGGCCACAUGGGGACUGCGAUACGGCCCAGAAUCCUACGGGAGGCAGCAGUGGGGAAUAUUGCACAAUGGGCGGAAGCCUGAUGCAGAAACGCCGCGUGCGGGAUGACGGCCUUCGGGUUGUAAACCGCUUUCGCCUGUGACGAAGCGUGAGUGACGGUAAUGGGUAAAGAAGCACCGGCUAACUACGUG